UUUUUUGGAGAGUUUGUCUGUAUGGACUUUAGCUGUGGUUUUGGUUUUGUUGCUUGUUUUAUGCAUGCUUUAACGAAAUGAUUUCUCUUAAAACGGCGGGUUACUUAAACAAGGUUUUCUAAAUCACGAACUGUAUUGCUUAAACAUCACAGUUUUUAACAAGUUUUCGCACUAAAGGAUUUUAAGGCAAAAGAAUAAAUGUUUUGAAAUAAAUGGAAGCAAAUAAGGGUUUAUAAGCUUAAGGUUUUUAUCGAGUUAGCUUUGUUUUCAAACCCAUUCCAUAUGAGUGUACAGGCCCAAAUUUGCCUGACCCAAAACCAAACAACCCUAGCCCACAACAUAAACAAAUUUUUCAAAAAGCAAACCCUAGCCUCUGACCUUCCUGCAACGCUGCCACCGGCCUCUUCUGACAGCACCUGCAAAACCAAAACAACAAGAAAACGAAACAGGAAUAGCAAAGAGACACGCAAAGUAAAGAAAGAAAACAGCAAGCAACAAAUAGAGGAGGGUAGUAAGAUAAAUAAGAAAAAAACUGAUUAUAUUAGGGGUUUUUUUUCGAAUAAAAAAUUGUAUUGAAUACAAAAAAAGGAAAUCAAAAAAGAAAAUCAGUUUCAAAAGGUGAUUUUACGAUUCAUAUUCUAUUGAUUUUUUUUAUUUUUCUUUUAAAAAUUCCUUUAAAAAAACAAAUAAAAGAGAGAAGCGAGGGAACCCACCUGCGGUUUCGACCAUCGGAGCCCCUUUCUCCGGCGUGCAUAUCGGGCCAAGGGACGCCUUUCGUUCUCGUCGUUCCAGAGCCAUGAGCCACGAUGCGUGGAGGCACGUGGGACGCUGAUGAGGCCCUUGAGUCGGCCAAGCAAAGGAAAUAGAAAGAGGAAGGGAGAGAGCAAAAAGCACUCUGAUUUUUUUUUUAAAAAAAAGGGUGCAGAAAUGAGUUUUAGAAAAAAAAUUUGGUUUACAUAAGCUUGUUUAAACGGCGCCGUUUGGGUAAAAGGGGUAGGGUCUAUGCAUUCUAGGCUAAAGUGGGUAAUUUGCGCGGUCAACCCUCCUCAUUUGUGCUGUUGUUUAUUUAGACCCUGUUUAUCCCUUUUUUUACUUUUUAAACAUUUUGCCAAAGAAUUUUGUAUCUGUUGCAUUUUAGUCCGCAUUGAAGCACCGUGUUUUGGGGAUUUGGGUUAUUUACAUUUUUAAUCCUCGUAUGUUUGUGCGUAUUUCAUUCCGGUCCUUAACUUUGUCUUAAUAGUUUGGUUUGUUUAUAAAUUAUCCUCUUGACUUUGAUUUUGUUUCAAUUGAGUUUUUUUAGUUUACGUAAUUCUUUUGUUCUUUUUUUUAAAAAAAAAUUAACAUAUUAUUUUGAACUAUUUCAUUGAUUUUACAUUAGUUUAGUUCGUUUUUUUUAACUUUCAUUUGUAUAUUUUUAAUUGCUUUAUUAUAUAGUUGAUUUACUUUAAAAUUCUCUUUUAUAUUUCUUUGUUUUAAAGUUUAAAAAUGAUGUUUAUUUUAAAUACCCUUAUACAUUAUUAUUUUCAUACAUAUUAUUUAUAUUAAACUAUUAUUUAAUUUAAUUUAUGUACAUUAUUUAUUUAGAUAUAUAUAUAUUGUUUUAUAUAUUACUUUAAUUCUUUGCUUG
RNAcentral lists this long non-coding RNA (1627 nucleotides) under Gossypium barbadense (sea-island cotton). RNAcentral describes it as "long non-coding RNA (GBAR_LNC008262)". The record is from RNAcentral. Lineage: Eukaryota; Viridiplantae; Streptophyta; Magnoliopsida; Malvales; Malvaceae.